AAGUCGUAACAAGGUCUCCGUUGGUGAACCAGCGGAGGGAUCAUUACCGAGUUUUCAACUCCCAAACCCCAUGUGAACUUAUACCAUUUACAACCGUUGCUUCGGCGGGUUCUCGCCCCGGGCUUUACACCCCGGAACCAGGCGGCCCGCCGGGGGACCCAAACUCUAGACUUAUAUUUUAGCAUGUCUGAGUGGAAUCAUUACAAAAUGAAUCAAAACUUUCAACAACGGAUCUCUUGGUUCUG
RNAcentral lists this unclassified non-coding RNA (245 nucleotides) under Pochonia chlamydosporia. Its description in RNAcentral is "partial internal transcribed spacer region". The stretch from base 1 to 46 matches the Rfam family "Eukaryotic small subunit ribosomal RNA", at positions 1786 to 1831 of the family's 1831-position model. Lineage: Eukaryota; Fungi; Ascomycota; Sordariomycetes; Hypocreales; Clavicipitaceae. The record is from RNAcentral.